CAGUCGCCGCGGGAACACGAAGGGUGCAAGCGUUACUCGGAAUUACUGGGCGUAAAGCGUGCGUAGGUGGUGGUUUAAGUCCGUUGUGAAAGCCCUGGGCUCAACCUGGGAAUUGCAGUGGAUACUGGGUCACUAGAGUGUGGUAGAGGAUAGUGGAAUUUCCGGUGUAGCAGUGAAAUGCGUAGAGAUCGGAAGGAACAUCUGUGGCGAAGGCGACUAUCUGGGCCAACACUGACACUGAGGCACGAAAGCGUGGGGAGCAAACAGGAUUAGAUACCCGAGUAGUCCCUGUCUCUUAUAC
This 301-nucleotide ribosomal RNA is filed under the name uncultured bacterium. Its description in RNAcentral is "partial 16S ribosomal RNA". It matches the Rfam family "Bacterial small subunit ribosomal RNA", at positions 509 to 807 of the family's 1533-position model. The record is from RNAcentral.